RNAcentral lists this transfer RNA (85 nucleotides) under Chloroflexota bacterium. RNAcentral's name for it is "Chloroflexi bacterium (sediment metagenome) tRNA-Leu". It matches the Rfam family "tRNA". From Rfam's summary of the family: Transfer RNA (tRNA) molecules are approximately 80 nucleotides in length. Their secondary structure includes four short double-helical elements and three loops (D, anti-codon, and T loops). Lineage: Bacteria; Bacillati; Chloroflexota. The record is from RNAcentral.
GGGGAAGUGCUGGAAUUGGCAGACAGAACGGACUUAGGAUCCGUCGGGGCAACCCGUGAGGGUUCAACUCCCUCCUUCCCCACCU